Molecule: RNA transcript, 3979 nt
Organism: Panicum virgatum (switchgrass)
Lineage: Eukaryota; Viridiplantae; Streptophyta; Magnoliopsida; Poales; Poaceae
Gene name: acyl transferase 4-like
Exons: 3
Source: RefSeq, a predicted model, not a curated record
UCCGGCCUAUAUAUCAAUUAUUGCUCAAGACUCAAGACUGCUCCCUAAUUCUAGUUCCUAUAUAGUAGUCCAUACAACACCAUCGCACACUAUCGCAAAAUACACGCGAAGGCCUGCAGACAUCGAACAAUCACACACAGUGCCGGCCAUGGGGUUCGAGGUGCGGAGGACGAGCCGGUCGUACGUGCGCCCGGCCGCGGCGACGCCGGCGGGCUCGCUGGAGCUGUCCGCCAUUGACCGCGUGGUGGGGCUGCGCCACAUGGUGCCGUCGCUGAACGUGUACCCGCCGCGCGGCUGCGGAGCCGCCGCCGGCGAGGGGCAGCUGCAGCAGCAGUCCCCGGCGACCGUGGUCCGGGAGGCGCUGGGAAAGGCGCUGGUGGACUACUACCCGCUCGCCGGGCGGCUCGUCGGCGGGCCCGGCGGGCCGGCGAGCUCCCGCGUGGAGUGCACCGGCGAGGGCGCGUGGUUCGUGGAGGCCGUCGCCGGGUGCAGCCUGGAGGACGUCGGGCGCCUCGAGAAGUACCCGUUCGCCAUCCCGGAGGGCGACCUGCUCCCGGACGAAGCGCCUGGUGUGCAGCCACUCGACCUCCCUCUCAUGAUGCAGGUGACCGAGUUCACGUGCGGUGGCUUCGUGGUGGGGCUGACCUCCAGCCACGCCAUCACUGACGGCCUGGGCGCUGGGCAGUUCAUCACCGCCAUUGGCGACAACACCCGCGGUCUCCCCAAGCCCCGUGUCACUCCCAUCUGGUCCCGCGGCGAGCUCAUCCCAAACCCGCCCAAGAAGUUCCUCUCCGGCCCUCUUCCCACGCCGCGGACGUUCCAACUCCGGCACCUCACCGUGGACCUGAGCUCCGACAGCAUCGAGCGUGCCAAGUCCCAGUUCCUGCAGUCCACGGGGCGGCGCUGCUCCACCUUCGACGUCGCCGUCGCCAGGCUGUGGCAGGCGCGGACGCGGUCGCUGCGGCUCGCGGACCCGUCGACGCGCGUCAGCCUCGGCUUCUUUGCCGACGCGCGCCGCCUCCUGCGCGGUGGCGGCGGCGGCGCCGGGUUCUACGGCAACUGCUUCUACACGGUGACGGUGAGCGCGGAGAGCGGCGCGGUGGCGGGCGCGGACACGGCCGGCGUGGUCGCCAUGAUCCGGGACGCCAAGGCGUGGCUCCCCGCCGAGUUCGCGCGGUGGGCGGCGGGGGAGCGCGUGGAGCCGGACCCCUACGACCUGAGCUUCUCGUACGAGUUGCUGUUCGUGUCGGACUGGACCCGCCUGGGGUUGGACGCCGACUACGGCUGGGGGACGCCGUCGCAGGUGAUAUCCUUUGCGCGAAUGUUCUCGUGUCCACCACAUUGGAUAUCCCCCCUAUAAUAUGCCAUCCGAUUCUUCUUCAAGAUUCGCGCUCCGCUCCUACGUGGCACGCGGCAGUGCACUUAAACAUGCUGACAUCAGAUUGGCUGCUAGCUUAACCUCCUUGCGGUCAACAAUGUCUAGAAGACUCAUUCACAUUGUACCUGAGUUUUCUGGAUACGACUCUUCUUCUCCCUCCUCUUGCGGCCAACUUCCGACCAGAUCUCCACCGGCUGCCUCCCUCUCCGCCUCCGGCGACCUUGUCAGCGACGAGACGGGGCGGGGCUCACCCUCCACUUAUACAUCUUCGUUACAGAUCAUAUCUUGCUGUUAUCGCCAUUGCCAUCGCCGCUCUCAUCUCGUCGGAUUUGUGACCUCGCACAUCGGUCUUGUUGGCCACGGUGCGGGAAGUGACGCUCUCGUCGGCUUCGAUCUUCAGGAGACAUCAGUGAGCCUAAAUAAUCUUUUCCCCUUUCUAGAACUGGAGAUGCUUUGUUCUGUUGUGCACAAAUCGAUCCACCACCACUCAUCUCCGGCCAUCUGUCCAUCCUCACAACAUCAUCUCCGGCACGAUCCCCUCCAGAACCAUGUAUCCUUCCUGUGGAACAUAUGAACAAAUCCCUGCUGCUGCCUUCUUUUCAAUCCAACAUUCGAUGGGCCGUCAUUAUUCAGUUAACUGCAGAUCUGGUGCUGCUUGAUUAUCAGCUCUCCAGUGAGGAUGAUAACUCGGAGGUCAGAUCCCAUUAUUUUGUUUAUUUGUCUCAAUUGGAGGUCACUAAAGUUUAACAAUGUCAUUAAAAAUUUAGUCUGACUAAUCAACUGGAUAUCAUGUGGUUUUAUGGAUAUGUUGAUUGUUUAUUUAGCUUUCUAAGUUACUGCAUUAGUACACAUUCAGGUGGCUUAACUAGUACUCAUUUAGGUUGCAUAAGUACUCAUUCUAGUUGGUUAUUGGAUUUGUCAAUGUUGUCAGGGGAAAGGGGAAAAAAGAGUUAGCAGGUGUAUCUGCUAGGUGUUAGCUUACCCGGUUGUUUGAUCUGAUUUCUAGGCUUGGUGAUUGCAAGAAGUUAGUAAAAGAAUUCAGGUUUGAGGGGAUUGAUUCACUUCCCUACUCUUUCGCAAAUAAACAGAAUGUUUGCUGUCCGGAUGAUGUACUGUGGAGGGUUGAUGCAUUUGUUGCAUACCCUUGUUCUGUUUUAUUCAAAAAAGUUGAAGUUUAGCAAGGAAGAAAGUGGCAUGCAUUCUGGGCUUCCAUGUGGAAUUAGAAAAAGUAGGUAACCGAGUGUCAAUAUGGGUUGGCAUUUGGCAAUGUCAGCUAACGAGGAGAGUUCAUUCAAGCUUGCAUUGUGGUGUAUGUAUGUUAUGUCAACUUUUAAUAUCACUAGGUGCUAGGCUUGACUAUGCAUCAGUUGUUACUGGACUGCACUGCACAAUCCUUCGAUAGGGUCAUAUCAAUAGUAUGAUUAUGUACUGAGAAAGGCUACUUUGAUGCAGUGAUUAAGAUUAAAACUGACCUCAAUGGCAAUACAAAAGUACCCAGUAUUACUUGCACAUUAUUCUUGCAGCUAUACAGUUUCCUUUAUUUGUAUCUCGAAAUAGAUAUUUUGUUGCAUAUAUAAUUUUUUGUAGCAUUGUGGUAAUUACAUAUAUGUCAUAAUGCAGCCCAACUUGUUUAAAUUUCAUAAUUUAAGUAUAGGUGUUGUACCAUGACAGUAUACACCUCAGUGUCCUUAGUAUGAACCAUGGUAUCUUGAAGAAAGUUGUAUCUUUCCGCAUAUUAAAUGUUUUGCAUCUGACAGAAUGAGGCCUAUGAUCCGUGCCAAUAUUGUUCUUGUACCUUGGAUCAGCCUGAUUCUGUAAUUGGAAAAAGCAAGGUGGUUGUUAUUUCACAUCUUAUAUUGUGCAGUUUUAGCAGGAAUAAGUUGUGCACUUUAGUAUAUAUCAUGGUUCUCAGAUUUGAUUAUUUCCUUUAAGUUUAUUUGUUCCACUUUUCCACUCCUAGUUACUAUCAGCAUUAGAAUUAUGCUACCAUUGCUCUUUAAAUUGGGAGGUAGAUGCCACUGAGGACACAAUCUCAUUGAAUGUUGCUUUUGGGGGAAGCAACUAGAUCCCUUGCUCGAUCAUAUAGAGUUCCUAUGGAGGUAUGUCUUCUCUCUCCUCUGUUCAAUUGGAGAUCUAGUUAGUUUAGACUGGAUAUAAUUUUGUAUAACAUAAUUGGAGCAUUAUUUCAGCAACUUCAUCAGUACAGCUUAUGCUUAUCCAGUACAUCCUGCUUGGGAAUUUGUUUUUAUGGAAUAGUGUUUUCUAAAAUAUUUUAUAUUGUAGUCAUGUAGGAUGGUCCUAUGAUACACUUUUUCUCUAUUUUAUUAUAUAGAUAAGCAAGUUUUCUUGCUCUAUAUGGUAGAUAAACUAAACUGUGCUUUUACUUGACACUUCCAUGUACAGAAGGUGGAGGUCAAAGGACUACAAUUCGUCUUGGCUAAGGGGUUCCUUGAAGCUCGAGGCUCCUCAAUUUGAUUCUUCACCCUAGGAUGCUUAGAUAAUAUUAUUUUUUAUUGUAUUUGGAUGUCCACAGUUGUAUGUACUAUUAAUAUGAUGUGUUUGGAAAUAAGAAUUACAUAUAAAGAUUGGCAGUUCUCAUUA